This 509-nucleotide ribosomal RNA is filed under the name uncultured bacterium. Its description in RNAcentral is "bacterial SSU rRNA". It matches the Rfam family "Bacterial small subunit ribosomal RNA", at positions 32 to 513 of the family's 1533-position model. The record is from RNAcentral.
AAUCAACGCUGGCGGCGUGCCUCAGACAUGCAAGUCGAACGCGAAAGUUUCCUUCGGGAGACAAGUAGAGUGGCGCACGGGUGAGUAACACGUAGGUAAUCUACCUUUGGAUGGGGAAUAACAACCGGAAACGGUUGCUAAUACCGCAUAAUGCAGCGGCACCUAAUGGUGACAGUUGUUAAAGCGGGGGAUCGAAAGACCUCGCGUCUGAAGAGGAGCCUGCGGCGGAUUAGCAGUUGGUAAGGUAAUGGCUUACCAAGGCUACGAUCCGUAACCGGCCUGAGAGGGCGGUCGGUCACACUGACACUGACAUACGGGUCAGACUCCUACGGGAGGCAGCAGUGGGGAAUAUUGGACAAUGGGGGCAACCCUGAUCCAGCGACGCCGCGUGGGUGAAGAAGGCCUGCGGGUUGUAAAGCCCGUUUCGGUGGGGAAGAAAGUCUCGACCUAAUACGUCGGGACCUUGACCGUAACCCACUAAAGAAGCACCGGCUAACUCUGUGCCAGCA